This 318-nucleotide ribosomal RNA is filed under the name Abracris flavolineata. RNAcentral describes it as "partial 12S ribosomal RNA". The record is from RNAcentral. Lineage: Eukaryota; Metazoa; Arthropoda; Insecta; Orthoptera; Acrididae.
AAUUUCUUUAAACCCAAAGAAUUUGGCGGUAUCUUAUUCUAUUCAGAGGAACCUGCCCUGUUAUUGAUAGUACACGAUUAACUUUACUUAAUUUAUUUGUUUGUAUAUCUCCGUUAUCAGAAGAUUUUUUUAGAAUUAUAAUUUUCUUAAUUUUUAAUUAGAAAUUAUUUCAGGUCAAGGUGCAGCUUAUAAUUAAGGAGAGGUGGGUUACAAUAAGUUUUUGUUUAUAAUGGAUUAGAGGUUUAAAUAUUUUUAUGAAGGUGGAUUUGAUAGUAAUUUAAUUUAAUUAAGUUAAUUGAUAUUAGCUCUGAGAUGUGU